This is a long non-coding RNA of Cyprinus carpio (common carp), 888 nucleotides long. RefSeq lists it as uncharacterized. The record is from RefSeq and is a predicted model, not a curated record. The transcript has 3 exons. Lineage: Eukaryota; Metazoa; Chordata; Actinopteri; Cypriniformes; Cyprinidae.
CCAUUGUCCUCAUUUGUAAGUCACUUUGGAUAAAAGCAUCUGCUAAAUAACUGAAUGUAAAUUAUAGUCAUUUUAUAUUCUCAAAAUUCAUAUUUUCUACAAUAUAUGAGAAUUUUUUUAAUGUACAUUGCUAAUAGAUAUUUGUAUAUAGUGUUACACAGAGAGAUGCAUUUGUGAAAGCGCUCAGUUCUGUUUAAUUUUAUUUAUCUUUUGUAAUAAAAUAAUUUAAAUGAAAUGAUCCUGAAGUGCUUUUUAAAGUGAUUGUUUAAAUAAUAUAUGAGUAUGUACUUGAUUAAAUAUGGUAAUUCAAAGGAUUGACUUUAAUCUCUCUCUGUUAUAGUUCAGUUCAUCAGAAGAGAUCAGAAGCAGAGUCCAGCUGUGUGUCUGUGAGGAGUGACACAUCUGUGAAUCAGUCAUUAGAUUAUAAGAGUGAAGAUACAAAGACUGAUCUCAGAUUAUAUCAUCAGAAGAGAUCAGGAGCAGAGUCCAGCUGUGUGUCUGUGAGGAGUGAUUGGUCUAUGGAUCAUCCAAUACGGUUUAAGACUGGAGAUACAAAGACUGAUCUCAGUUCAGUUCAUCAGAAGAGAUCAGAAGCAGAGUCCAGCUGUGUGUCUGUGAGGAGUGAUGCGUCUGUGAAUCAGUCAUUAGAUUAUAAGAGUGAAGAUACAAAGACUGAUCUCAGGUAUAUUUUUAUAUAAAUAUUAUUAUAGCAUGUAAUUUUAUAUCGAUGAUUUAAGAUCGAUGCAGCAGCUGGUUUCAGUUUUUCGAUGUAAGUCAGUGAAUUUGUUUGAAAGCAUAAUGUGAGUAGUUUUUAUAUGAAUACAGAAGAAAUUGUGUCAUACCUUGGUUUACUAUAAUGUGAUUUCUUUUUUUUCAGUAGCUUUCUCU